UGUAUUCAGCAGACUUUAGCACUUCCACUUUGGAGAAUGUUUUCUCCAAGUCAUCUGGCUGCCUGCCUUCUCUCUCUUGCUCCCUUUUGGUCACAGCUGAAUCUUGUUUGCUUGCCUUUUGGCAAAUAUGGCUGUUCAGCCUGAAAAUGCAGAGAGGAGGGUUUCUGUAUUUGCUACGUCUGAUGAGGGUCUCUGCCUUUGUUUGCAGGCUUUAACAGCCCUUCUGAAAUACUAGUCAGCUUUUGAGCCUUAUUUCAUCAUAAGCAGUUGUAAUUUUAGGGAUCGUUGUAUUUCUCUGCAGAUUCCAUGGACUUUAUCAGGCAUCUGACUCCUUUAUUUUUGCUUGUCUUCUGCAAUAUGUGCAGUCCAACAUCGAGGAGACAUCUGUGUUUUCUUGUCAGAAGUGCCCUCAGAUAAAAGAGAAAAUGCACUGUCUGCAGAAUCCUUUGUCAUGGGAAAAACACAGGAAGUGUAAUACUGCAACAUCUACAACUGCUCUGCCCUGCUGGGAUUGAACUCUUAAUCUUCUGUGUAAUGGAGAUUAAUAUCCCUUACAGAUGCAAAUGUAGGGCAGGACCUCUGUCUUCCCCGGAAAAGAGCUUUCGAGUACAAUGAUGGGAUACAGAUCAGAGUUUGGAGCCUAAACAAGAUCUCACAGCCUCUACAACAAAUCUCUGUAUCUGAAAGUGAAGAAAGAAUUAAUUCUGUGUGGUUAGGGGUUUGCCACGUGACAUCACCAAGGUAAAUACAAGAAAGGGGCAGAAGUUCACAGAUCAUUUGCAAAUACCCAGCAUAAUGCAUGCUCCCUGUUGCCUGUACUGCAAAUAUAACUUAGUGAUGUUAGAACUGCAUUGCUCCAUUUGUUUCAUAGAAAUCACGUAAGAGGUGAAGUGUAACAUUUUCUCAGGUUGAUGGAACAUUAUAAAGUGAACACAGUAUCCAAAGCUCAUCGUAACCAAACUUACAUGCAAUUUGCAUCUGGUUAUGGACUGUAUAAUUUGGGGUUCCUGCCCUGGUUCUUGUUCCAGAGUGUAAUUAGGGAAGCUGUGCUAUGCUUGGGGAGGCUUGAUGCUGAAAGAAAUACGUGUUUCCCAGCAGAAUGUCUAAGCGAAAUAGCCUACUCACCAGCAGGAUUACCCAGGCAGGUGGUAACAGCAGCUGCUCUGUAUACCAUCAGAUCUGCCUAUACAGCAGGGCACUUCCAGGUUCCUAGGGUUUAGUGUUUCUCAUUGAACCCUCAGGGGUUGAAGGCAGGUGCUUUGGUAAGCAGAAAGAGAGGAUCACACACAUUAUCUGUAUUGUCAGGUUGUGCAGUGCAAGCAGCUGGUUCAGAUAACCUGACUGUGACAUCUCAGGAGGGAUUACUUGGGAGCAUCUCCAGUCUGAUCCACUGAAUUGAGUAUCCAUUAAUGGUCAGUACAUUUGCUGUGAUUCUGGAUCUCACAUUCCACUUUAGUUUCUUCUGAAAAGAAUUCAGUUUAUGUGCUCUGAAACCAUGCUGCAAGGCAAACCACAGCAUAUUAAGUAGGGAUGACCAAGAAAUGCUACCCAAACUGUAAACCCACUGACUUUCUCCAGGCCUGUUGUCUCAAGUCUGUUUAAGAUCAAGCAGAGUCCUCCUCACCCACAGGUGAAGGCUUGAGGUUUGUCUCAAGUGACUGAUUUUAUUUUCCAUAUAUCCUGAAAUUAAUCUUAAAGUUUCUACGUUUUCCAGUUUGGGGCAAUAAUGUUGCAAGGUUUGGGUUUCCAAAGAUGGUAGUUCAAGCUCUACUCAACAUUACAGACCACAGGCUAUUAACAGUAUGGUCUGUGAUGUUGUUCUCCAGAAAAAAAAUGGAAAUAGGUGAUUUGGAGGACAGAAUUACACCCAGCUAACUUCCAGAGGUUCUAGGUUGGUGGCAAAAUUAGGUAUGGUCAGUUAGCAUUGAAUUCCAGAAGAAUUCUGUUGGUAAUAGAAAGGCUCAUCCUUGCCUCGCUCCCUGGCAUGGGUGCUCCCCACAGGCUAUAAAACCCAUCACAGUGACAUAAAAUGGAUUUCAGCAAAGAUCUGAUUCAACUGUGCUGUAAGCUGUGGACUCUGGUCUCACUUUCACUUUGUAACAGGAAUAAGACAUAGUAAUAGGAUGGUGGAAGAAAAUUACCCCUUCUUUUGCAUACACAGUAUCUGUUUUUCAAGGAUUUCUGCUCUCUGACUUACCAUGUGCCCUUUUCAUUAGCUCCAGUCUAAGUUAAGGGUUUAAUAUUUAUCUGUUCUUAAAGAGAAACUACUUACUAGCUGACAGAGCCUGAAAGCAAUAGCAGUAAAUAACAGCAGAAAAGUCAGUUCAUUCACAAUAAAUGUUUUGUACUGCCACUAACUUGUGCAGUCUAAACAUACAUUGAGAUACCCAAGCACUGAAAAAAUCGCUUUUUAAUCCAUGUGAGGCUCUUCUCUGUUUUAAACCAAGGUUGAAAUCAGAAAGGGUAAACCAGAAUUGAGAAACUCGGAUUGUCAACAAUUUUAUAGCUUCAUUUUCUACUACAUUUGUGUGGUGAAUAUACUAGAAAAUGGGCUCUGGAUUUGCAUUUCCUUCUAGUCUUGUGCAGCAGGACAUUAAAUAAUAGCAUUUGUGGUCUAAUCUGCACUUUAAUAUGUUUUCUUUACUUGCUUAAUUGUAUUGAUGGACAGAGGAGGAUGAUCUUGCGUCGAGGACAGAGUACUGGAAGUCAGGUGAUCUGGGUUAUAUUCAGAGUUCUGCCGCAGGCUUCCUGUGCAGUCUGCUAUAAUCAGGUUUGCUAAUAUAUCAAAUGAAGAUAAUGACAUUUCCCCUCCUUACCAGGGUGUUGUGACACUUAAUUCAUUAAUGUUUGUAAAGUGCUUUGUUGUCCUUGCUUCUAAAUGUGCUCCUUACUGUAAUGAUGUCUUAUGAAUGGUAUUAAAUUUGAGAAUAAUGUUGCUUUAGUGCCUGUGCACUGAAGUGUAGUAAAGACCAUUAUUUUCAUGUAUUUUAUGAGGUACUGAAAUUUUUUAGAUGACUCACUUGAAAUUUAGCUAAAAUAUAGUUACAGUUGUAAAA
Long non-coding RNA from Pezoporus occidentalis (night parrot), 3056 nucleotides. RefSeq lists it as uncharacterized. The transcript is spliced from 4 exons. The record is from RefSeq and is a predicted model, not a curated record. NCBI's taxonomy places the organism in Eukaryota, Metazoa, Chordata, Aves, Psittaciformes, Psittacidae.